GAACAGGGCCUCGGGGGAGUGACGGUAGGAUGGAGCGGAUUGGAACAGGGCCUCGGGGGGAUGACGGUAGGAUGGAGCGGAUUGGAACAGGGCCUCGGGGGGGGAGUGACGGUAGGAUGGAGCGGAUUGGAACAGGGCCUCGGGGGGGAUGACGGUAGGAUGGAGCGGAUUGGAACAGGGCCUCGGGGGGAGUGACGGUAGGAUGGAGCGGAUUGGAACAGGGCCUUACACUGAGUUUCCUCUUGGGGGCUUUCUGUUUGGCGGUCGCUCCCCUACGAUGAGUCACAAACUUCCCUGGAGCCAAAACUGGAGACGG
Molecule: long non-coding RNA, 316 nt
Organism: Oncorhynchus tshawytscha (Chinook salmon)
Lineage: Eukaryota; Metazoa; Chordata; Actinopteri; Salmoniformes; Salmonidae
Source: Ensembl